Molecule: ribosomal RNA, 530 nt
Filed under: uncultured bacterium
Lineage: Bacteria
Description: partial 16S ribosomal RNA
Rfam family: Bacterial small subunit ribosomal RNA
Source: RNAcentral
GUGAGGAAUAUUGGACAAUGGGGGCAACCCUGAUCCAGCAAUGCCGCGUGUGUGAAGAAGGUCUUCGGAUUGUAAAGCACUUUCGACGGGGACGAUGAUGACGGUACCCGUAGAAGAAGCCCCGGCUAACUUCGUGCCAGCAGCCGCGGUAAUACGAAGGGGGCUAGCGUUGCUCGGAAUGACUGGGCGUAAAGGGCGUGUAGGCGGUUUACACAGUCAGAUGUGAAAUCCCCGGGCUUAACCUGGGAGCUGCAUUUGAUACGUGUAGACUAGAGUGUGAGAGAGGGUUGUGGAAUUCCCAGUGUAGAGGUGAAAUUCGUAGAUAUUGGGAAGAACACCGGUGGCGAAGGCGGCAACCUGGCUCAUGACUGACGCUGAGGCGCGAAAGCGUGGGGAGCAAACAGGAUUAGAUACCCUGGUAGUCCACGCUGUAAACGAUGUGUGCUAGAUGUUGGGUAACUUUGUUAUUCAGUGUCGCAGUUAACGCGUUAAAGCACACCGCCUGGGGAGUACGGCCGCAAGGUUGAAAC